AGGAGAGUGUUUUAAGACUAAAAUACUGAUGAGUAGGUAAAGGGGUAGAAUGUUUUCCCAGGGAACAAUUCAUCAGCCUCUGACAUGAUGUUUGUUUUGUAAAUCUCUUUUUUCAGAACAGUGAACGAUUUAAAGGGAGACUAAAACACUGAAAAAAAAUGCCGUUCAUAUAUUGUGUUCUUUUGAAUUUUUAUUUAUAUUUCUAACCUCUUUAGAUCAUUACAAGUAUAUACCUCAUAAUGAAAAUGAAAAUAAUUCCAUUUAAAAUGCUAUCUAGAAAGACCUUAACACGCAUUAUGUGUCAUAAUGAAGUAACACAAAGAAACUUCUUAAAACAUAGGAUUUCUCUCUAAAGCUUAAAUGUGAGGCAGACAGACGUCUAACUUUAAAACAGAUGGAACCCCAGAACAUUUCCAGGAUACAUAAAUCUGAAUUUUGUGUUACAUUUUAUGCCUGAGACAGCUAACCCAUCCAAAUUGAUGAGGCCUUUGUACUUGCCUCAACAAAUCGCCACAAAAUAUGUGAUGGAAGUGAUGCUGCUUCUAGGACUUCUGCAAGUUUCUCUCGGCACACUGGCCUGGGAGCCUUCAGCUGCCAGUUUUUACAUCUUCAGCACAAAAAGUCCAGUAAUAAAGGAACUAUGUUUGCUAUAUUAACGGUAAGUGGAGAUAUCUUCCCUCUACCCCAGAAUUCUAUAGCACAUGCAUAAUAUGAUUGCAAGUAUGCAGUAUGGCUAUAAGUAGGCAUGGAAAAAUGCAAAACUAACAACAGUACAAUGUUUAGGCAGAUGGGAUGGGUGACUUUUUUCCUUUUUUAAAAUAUUGUCUUUAAUAUUACAAAAUUAGUCAAUAUGUGGCAUACUAUAAGAAUUUCCAAUCCAUUUCUCACUCAUGUGUCCUGUAUCUAAUGCUUUAUUCCCAUCAAUAAAAUAAAAAUGUCUAUUUUUGAGGCCACAAAUAGAACAUUAUAGUCACUUGUAAAUAACAAUGCUAAAAGGGAUUGGUUUUGUUUAAAUUAAUAAUGCUUUGUGUAUCUAUUUUCUUCUAUUUAAUUUAUAUAAUAUUAAGACAAAAGUAUAAGAAAAAUGAGAAAAGGACCUGGUGCAGUG
This 1108-nucleotide long non-coding RNA is filed under the name Homo sapiens (human). RNAcentral's name for it is "HSALNT0358148". The record is from RNAcentral. Lineage: Eukaryota; Metazoa; Chordata; Mammalia; Primates; Hominidae.